This 704-nucleotide unclassified non-coding RNA is filed under the name Bombus terrestris (buff-tailed bumblebee). RNAcentral describes it as "misc RNA ENSBTSG00005020585.1". Lineage: Eukaryota; Metazoa; Arthropoda; Insecta; Hymenoptera; Apidae. The record is from RNAcentral.
AGACCAAAACAUUGAUGAAAGCCAUCCCAAAUCAUCAGAAAUAAUACAGUCUUUAAAGAGCAAUACAAGUGGUACGAAACAGAGAUGUGGUUGCGAAGAAGAGAUAAUCUUCCACGAAUGGAAAUGUAUGUUGGCCUACUUUGUAGCGAUAUUCAGGGAGAAGCAGGGUUUGAAAAGAAUCUAUAAUGACAGUUGAAUUGAAAUUGAUCUGACGUUAAACGGAACCCUUGGUGAAACUUGUCACGUUAGAUUAAGCUUUAAAAUUAUGGAUAUUGUUAACUAACGAGAACAUUAGCUUCAGCGAUACCCGCGCUGGAAACGAUGAUUUGCGAAUAAACAUUCUAACAUAUCCAUCCGUAAAAAAUACAAGCAGUAUUAUACAGUUCUAUUGUAAAGUGAUCCACCGUAUCUGUGACCACUGUCUGAGGCCAGGUGUUUGUAAGUAAUCCAUUCCCAGACAAAAGUGCAAAAUUCAACCAUUCAACCACUCGAAAGACACAAAUUGAAAUUGAUCCUCGAUUAGUCACGAUAUUUAUUAUUUUGGUUAACAUGAAUUUGUUACCAAUGAUACAAACGCUAUUUUAAGAAACGCUGUAGUUUAGCACUUUUUUCAUCAAAUACGCGUGUUCCACUGCAAGCCUAAAUAUAAAUUGCGUUAUCUGAUAAGAAUCCUCGCGAUAUCAUAUACAAACUAGAUAAAAAUC